RNAcentral lists this long non-coding RNA (2406 nucleotides) under Varroa destructor (honeybee mite). Its description in RNAcentral is "uncharacterized LOC111246900". Lineage: Eukaryota; Metazoa; Arthropoda; Arachnida; Mesostigmata; Varroidae. The record is from RNAcentral.
AAAAACGAAGAGUUUCGGUAGUGACGCUUUAAGUUGCUCCCACAACUUUCGUAUGCUGCAGCUCUCUUAGCCGCUAGAUUUCUCGCCUUGAGUCACUUUCUACUUCGUACCCUAAGAACCUAUAAUUUAGCCCUCCUAUUCCCACUUUCGCGCUCUUUCCAUUACAGCAUCGUUCUAAUAACUGAAUCGUGUAAGUGAUUACCCAUAACGCAUCUGUCUGUCGGGUGCAUGGGUCUGCCAAGGCACAACUGGGGCACGAACAAGGCGAGAAGCAUUAAGAAAGUUUGCAACUAAGAUGGCUUUGAGAUUUGUCUGCUUUGAGCUACUGGUAGAAUCGCUGCUGUUCGUUUACGUGUUAACGAAAUCCUAUAGGGAACGUUCUUGGACUGUUCUCGUUCCUCAGUCGCUCUCUUCAUCAGGCCCGGGGCUGACGCUUGGUCUCUGCUUAUCACUUUAGUCUAUCGCAUUAGCCAGCAGCCUAAACAGCCCUCACUGAGUCAACUGGCUGGCAUUGUCGGAUACUUUCUCUUGGGCCGCUCGUCCCUUUGAGUCCGUCAAAUUCUCCUUGACUUGUUGUUGUCUAUGCUGCUUCUACAACUAGUUGCGUCGGCAGGCGACAAGGAAUUCUGUUAAGACCGAAAGGCUCCUGUCUUUUUCCUUUAGUCUCUUUGACUGAUUGUCAUGCACUGUUUUCCCUCUUUUCUCGUCUUUUGUUACUUCCCAUUGCCCUUUGUACCAGCCAUGUUACCUACUGUUUUUCAGAGAUCACACUAGUGCUUUUUUGUUAUGCUCGAAACUUCUUUCUCCUCUCAUUUUUCGUCUCUUUCCAUCUCUCAUUUUCCGUUCGCUAGCCCCUUUAAGUUAUUUCUCUUCUUUAUACGCAGACAGAUUGUAUGAAGAUGGUGGAUCGUUAGGCUGGCUGCUUGGUCGCUUAGCGUGAGGGUCAGCAAAUAAGGCAGCGGGCGGUUUGUAGACGACCUAAGCAGAACGCGAUCCCUGGUCUCUCUCUCGCUCACUCUCGAUGGAUGUUAAAUCCGUCUUCCGAUUAUUUGCCCAUUUUCCUAUUUUACUCAUCACUGUUCCGAUUUCGCUGCUCGCCUCCUGGUCGUCGCUGAGCUAACAGUCAGCAAUCCAGUGAGCGUUCUAUACUUUAGGAACUAGCCUGCCCCAAGUCUGAGGUCCUUCUCGAUUUAUUUCAACUCGUCUGCUGGUUAGGCCGCAGUCGUUACCGCUACUAUGUCCGCCUCCCUUCUUCGUUUCUAGUCGCUACCGGCCCCUCAGAUCUAACGGCCGUUUUGCUCUAACAGCACCGACUUGGAAGAUUAUUGCAAAGGUCAAAACGGCCGAAGCCUGCAGUAGCGGCAAUGAAGGAUCUUGUAGAACCUUCCCAUAUCAACCGGCUGAUCCUGCUGCUACCGACGAAGGCUAUGGUAGAAGUGCGCGGCUGGAGCAAACCCUCGCCAGUUUCUUUGGUUCAUUGAGAUUUGCGAGAGCUGAAGAGCCCAUCACAGAGGGGUGGUUAUGAUCCAAAAUGCUUCUGCCUGCGCCCUUCAACGCCGUCGUACCGCUCGAAACUUUUCUCCUGUAUCCCCGUCAGAGACCCUUUCGACCCCCUUAUUCUUCCUGUGCGGCUGACAACGACAGUGAGUGAGGCAUGUCAACUAGGCCAAUAUUUUCGCCGUCUCUUCUGGAGGAACUAAUGAACGACAGAGUUUAAAACUAUUUCAGGUGAUAGCGAAAUGGAUUGAAACGAGGGGGCAGAAUAUGUGGUUUCGGAGGCGAAGGGGGGAAUAUGUCCAGAAGUCAGAGAGUCAGAAGAUGUAAGAAAUUAGCUUCUGGUUGGUAGCAUGUGGGUUACCACGAAGCGGGACAAGCUUUAGUAGCAAAACAUGAAAGCAAGACACUAUGAGACCCCAUUCGUUACGUAUCUAUCGUACACCAGCCAACUGAAGCAAAAGACGACGGCCAAACUUGUAACAGCUAUAACUGUAGCAUUGGAAGUAAUGGCGGUCGGAGCGUGGUAGUUGGUGUUCAGCUCGUCGAGGGGAGGCUACCAAAGGCUUGAGAUGAGGAGAUAAAUAUCUACAAGAAGUAAGAAACUUCUUGUAGAUAUUUAUGGCGCAAAUAUGAUCGUCGUAAUUCUGGCUUACAUAAUAACGGAAUAAGAAUGAGAGAACUAAAAAGUCGAGCUAUCAAGAAACGCUUUAUCGAGACGCAUCGUAACUGCUGAAAUCGAAAAGUGAUACGUACGGUCAGUAAUCGUUUCUUCCACAUGCAACAACGAGGAAGAUGAGAAGUGAAGAUAAAAUAGCGUGUUCGUCGAGGUAACUGUUUGUUACUGGUAGCUAAUUGGGCAUCGGUAAAAGUUUGUGCGCGACGGUACUGCACAUCUGUGGCAUUCGAAUG